RNAcentral lists this ribosomal RNA (500 nucleotides) under uncultured bacterium. RNAcentral describes it as "partial 16S ribosomal RNA". It matches the Rfam family "Bacterial small subunit ribosomal RNA", at positions 30 to 523 of the family's 1533-position model. The record is from RNAcentral.
AUUGAACGCUGGCGGCAGGCCUAACACAUGCAAGUCGAGCGGAUGACGGGAGCUUGCUCCUUGAUUCAGCGGCGGACGGGUGAGUAAUGCCUAGGAAUCUGCCUGGUAGUGGGGGACAACGUUUCGAAAGGAACGCUAAUACCGCAUACGUCCUACGGGAGAAAGCAGGGGACCUUCGGGCCUUGCGCUAUCAGAUGAGCCUAGGUCGGAUUAGCUAGUUGGUGGGGUAAUGGCUCACCAAGGCGACGAUCCGUAACUGGUCUGAGAGGAUGCUCAGUCACACUGGAACUGAGAAACGUUCCAGACUCCUACGGGAGGCAGCAGUGGGGAAUAUUGGACAAUGGGCGAAAGCCUGAUCCAGCCAUGCCGCGUGUGUGAAGAAGGUCUUCGGAUUGUAAAGCACUUUAAGUUGGGAGGAAGGGCAGUAAGUUAAUACCUUGCUGUUUUGACGUUACCGACAGAAUAAGCACCGGCUAACUCUGUGCCAGCCGCCGCCGUAA